This 475-nucleotide ribosomal RNA is filed under the name uncultured bacterium. RNAcentral describes it as "bacterial SSU rRNA". It matches the Rfam family "Bacterial small subunit ribosomal RNA", at positions 55 to 518 of the family's 1533-position model. The record is from RNAcentral.
AUGCAAGUCGAACGGCAAGGCAGGUGCUUGCACCUGCCCUAGAGUGGCGGACUGGUGAGUAACACGUGGGUGACAUGCCUUUAGUUGGGGAUAGCUACUAGAAAUAGUAGAUAAUACCGAAUGUGAUCAAUAUUUAUAGAUGAUGUUGAGGAAAGGAGCUAAGGCUUCGCUAAAGAUUGGCCCGCGGCCCAUUAGCUAGUUGGUAGGGUAAAGGCUUACCAAGGCGAUGAUGGGUAUCCGGCCUGAGAGGGUGAUCGGACACAUUGGGACUGAGAUACGGCCCAGACUCCUACGGGAGGCAGCAGCUAAGAAUAUUCCACAAUGGACGAAGUCUGAUGGAGCGACGCCGCGUGGAUGAUGAAGGCCGAAAGGUUGUAAAAUCCUUUUACACUGGAGGAAUAAGCAGAGUAGGGAAUGACUCUGUGAUGACUGUACAGUUUGAAUAAGCAACGGCUAAUUACGUGCCAGCCGCCGC